Molecule: ribosomal RNA, 393 nt
Filed under: uncultured archaeon
Lineage: Archaea
Description: bacterial SSU rRNA
Rfam family: Archaeal small subunit ribosomal RNA
Source: RNAcentral
CGCAAGGCGUGGCAUACGGCUCACUAACACGUAGUCAACAUGCCCAAAGGACGUGGAUAACCUCGGGAAACUGAGGAUAAACCGCGAUAGGCCAAGGUUUCUGGAAUGAGCCAUGGCCGAAAUCUAUAUGGCCUUUGGAUUGGACUGCGGCUGAUCAGGCUGUUGGUGAGGUAAUGGCCCACCAAACCUGUAACCGGUACGGGCUUUGAGAGAAGGAGCCCGGAGAUGGGCACUGAGACAAGGGCCCAGGCCCUAUGGGGCGCAGCAGGCGCGAAACCUCUGCAAUAGGCGAAAGCUUGACAGGGUUACUCUGAGUGAUGCCCGCUAAGGGUAUCUUUUGGCACCUCUAAAAAUGGUGCAGAAUAAGGGGUGGGCAAGUCUGGUGUCAGCCGC